Molecule: long non-coding RNA, 339 nt
Organism: Zingiber officinale
Lineage: Eukaryota; Viridiplantae; Streptophyta; Magnoliopsida; Zingiberales; Zingiberaceae
Exons: 3
Source: RefSeq, a predicted model, not a curated record
UUUCCUUUCUUCCCGAGUCCUCAACCUCUCGCGACCCCUCCUUCUCACGCGGCCACCACAGCCGCGACCUUGCUUCCUCCAGCUAGCACCGAGACGCCGCACCAGCGCCGGUCACACCGAGCCCCAGCUGCCGACCUUUCCUCCUCACGCAAUCCCUCCCCCUCGCACGAGCACCGCGGACCCCAGCCGCCAAUCCUCAUCUCUCCCGAGCCGUGCCCUAACGAAUCUGACAGGACUCUGAUUUAGGGCAAGCAGCACAACGUGAAUUUAUUCUGAUACGAUCGACAAGUAAAGACGGGUAAAAGAUAGAUGAGUCAUGGAUGCUUGGAGAGAUGUCGG